Callithrix jacchus (white-tufted-ear marmoset) is the source of this 299-nucleotide unclassified non-coding RNA. It matches the Rfam family "Metazoan signal recognition particle RNA". Rfam says of the family: The signal recognition particle (SRP) is a universally conserved ribonucleoprotein. It is involved in the co-translational targeting of proteins to membranes. Lineage: Eukaryota; Metazoa; Chordata; Mammalia; Primates; Cebidae. The record is from Ensembl.
ACUGGGCACAGUGGCAGGUGCUUGUAGUCCCAGAUAGUAGGGAGACUGAGGUGGAAGGAUCGCUUGAGCCCAGGAGUUCUGGGCUAUAGUGCGCUACACUAAUUGCGUGUCCGCACUAAGUUCAGCAUCAAUAUGGUGACCUCUGGGAGUGGGGGAACACCAGGUUGCCUAACGAGGGGUGAACAGGCCCAGUUUGGAAGUGGAGCAGAUCAAAACUCCCGUGCUGAUUGGUAGUGGGAUCACACCUGUGAAUAGGCACUGCACUCCAGCCUGGGCAACAUAGCGAGACCCCAUUUCUU